Molecule: ribosomal RNA, 501 nt
Filed under: uncultured bacterium
Lineage: Bacteria
Description: partial 16S ribosomal RNA
Rfam family: Bacterial small subunit ribosomal RNA
Source: RNAcentral
AUUGAACGCUGGCGGCAUGCCUUACACAUGCAAGUCGAACGGCAGCACGGGUGCUGGCACCUGGUGGCGAGUGGCGAACGGGUGGGUAAUCCAUCGGAACGUACCUUAUCGUAGGGGAUAACGAAGCAAAAGCUGUGCUAAUACCGAAUCGCCCCGGGGGGGGAAAGCGGGGGACGCCAAAACCCCGGCGGAUAAAGCGGCCCGAUGCCUGAUUAGCUUGUUGGUGGGGUAAAAGCCCACCAAGGCGACGAUCAGUAGCUGGUCUGAGAGGACGAUCAGCCACACUGGGACUGAGACACGGCCCAGACUCCUACGGGAGGCAGCAGUGGGGAAUUUUGGACAAUGGGGGCAAACCUGAUCCAGCAAUGCCGCGUGAGUGAAGAAGGCCUUCGGGUUGUAAAGCUCUUUUGUCAGGGAAGAAACACCGGCUCUAACACAGUCCGGGAAUGACGGUACCUGAAGAAUAAGCACCGGCUAACUACGUGCCAGCCGCCGCAGUAA